UACACACCGCCCGUCACACCAUGGGAGUUGGUUCUACCUGAAGACGGUGCGCUAACCCGCAAGGGAGGCAGCCGGCCACGGUAGGGUCAGCGACUGGGUG
This 100-nucleotide ribosomal RNA is filed under the name uncultured bacterium. Its description in RNAcentral is "partial 16S ribosomal RNA". It matches the Rfam family "Bacterial small subunit ribosomal RNA", at positions 1384 to 1482 of the family's 1533-position model. The record is from RNAcentral.